Molecule: long non-coding RNA, 682 nt
Filed under: Rhinolophus ferrumequinum (greater horseshoe bat)
Lineage: Eukaryota; Metazoa; Chordata; Mammalia; Chiroptera; Rhinolophidae
Description: lncRNA (ENSRFEG00010007166.1)
Source: RNAcentral
UGACGAGGGCUCUGGUUCCAACUGUCCAGGAACUCGCGAUGUCCCUUGGCCCACCUUUGCCCAUGCAGCCGCUGAGGCCCAGACUCCAGGGACCUCAGACUUAACAGAGCAGAGCUUUUCAGCCAAGUCUGGACCCCAUUUCCCUGCAAAGAUCACCUCCAGCAGAUGACAGGCCAAGUGAGGAUGGUCACUCCAGGUGCCUGUGUCUGAACUGGGGCUCUUGGCCCAGGUGGACUCCUCCUGGAGAUGGGACGUGGACACUGCCUCACCAGGACUGGGCAGCUGGGAGGGGGCCUGCAGCCCCUCUCCUGCCUUCUGUCACAAGUGGGGUGGUGGCUGAGGGAAGGUUUGCUCCUGGCUGACUGAGCCAGGCCCCCAUUUCUCCUUCCCCAGCUGCCACCUGGGGUACAGCACACUGAGACCAGGUGUCUCGAGAACAAGGAAGUGCCAGGGGUGGACUACUGGGGCAAAGUGGGAGACCGACUCACAUCUGGGCACCGAACGCCGUGACAGAGAAGGCCAGGCUCAGAGCGGGGGGGCCUCACCUGACCCUAGGCCGUGGGGCCCCGGCACCUUGUAGCUCUCCAUGGGGGCCCUUGGGCGGGGCUGGGGGCUUCUGGUUAGAAAGAGGGUCUUUAGCUCCUUCCUGAGUCCCCUGGGUGGGGCAGACAGAAUGGCUGGG